ACCUGCACAAUACAAAUUGGGUGCAACUGCUCGGUUGCAGGCUUGCAACCUGCUACCGUAUCGUAGGACCUUAAAAACUAUAUCCUUCCUCAUAUGUGCCCUCUCAAUGCAUACCAUCAACAAGAAUAUGACAUUAGCUCAUCAAUGAUCUACCAUCUCUAGACUACUUACACAUCAAAACACAUAAUUUUUGGUGCAGCCCCCAUCAUUUGGUCAGAACUGAACGGAUCCAUUUUCAAAUCCAAUUAACCAGGUUCUAGUCCACCUACAUAUACGUUGAGAGGUGGCUUUAUUCUUGUACUCCAUCCUCAUCUCUUUGUUCUUCUUCAGUUUCAUACUUUCACCAAGAUCCGUCACGAUAGUGUCCAUACCUAUGGCUGCAUCCGUUACUACAGCGAAUCCAAAAAUUAAAAAAAAUGAUGCAUUCACCCAAUCAUUGCAGUUAGAAAGAAAUAAUCUUAAUUACACUCUGUCCUUAAAAAUGAAGGAGGUAGAUUGAAUUAAAAACUGGCAAGGGAUGGGAACAGACAAGAGUAUACAAAGGUGAGCUGUACAAAAUCAUCUAAGGGAUUGGGCUUGAGUUGAUCAGAAAUUUCACAAAGAACAUUGCAGGCUGAUUAGCUGAGCACCACCAGCGACUGAAUUUUGUGAAGGAUGUCGAUGAGUUUGUUAAUCUAGCAUCAGCUGAGUUGCUCUUAUAGCGGAGAAGCAUUCUGAACUCUGUCCUUUGCCAUACGUGCCUGAGGAAGAAAAGCACAACAAACCGAUGAGGAAAAAUGUUAAGAUGAGGAGCCGAAAAAAAAAAGUUCUUCCUUCUUUUCCCCUGGCGUGCUAGAAAAUACAGAUUUGGAUGGCUGUAGUUCCAUAUCUUAUCUUUGGUUCACAAACAUUCCUUUCUAAUAUUUGUUGACUCAAAUAGGGAAACAUUGAUGGAAUAUCUGAGAUAUGAUAUAGAAAACUUGCAGUAAACACCUGAGUUAACCUUAUUAAUGUCGACUAACCAAUAAGGGUGAGUAAGGAACCUUCAAGAUGACUCUAAAUGGCUCGAAAAGGUUUGAUGGUUACAGUUCGAAUGAAACUUAACUCAAAUUGCACGGCUAACUAUUAUAAGCAGAGGAACAUCUAUGUCUUAACCUGUUCAGGUCAUUACCUAUUGAGAAAAUGUUAUAAUGUGUGUGUGUAUGCAAGCAUGCAUGCAUAUGACAUCAGUAGGCAGCUGAUUAUUCUCUAAGGAUCCCUACUGUUCUAGACAAGGCAUCAAAUUAUAAUUUGAAUGAUCUCAGAAUUAGAUACGAGAAAAAAACUACUGAGAGAAGGAAGGUGGGGGGGAGGGAGGGAGGGGG
Molecule: long non-coding RNA, 1343 nt
Filed under: Elaeis guineensis (African oil palm)
Lineage: Eukaryota; Viridiplantae; Streptophyta; Magnoliopsida; Arecales; Arecaceae
Description: long non-coding RNA (EGUI_LNC073288)
Source: RNAcentral